AGCAGGCAGCCAAGGAAGCAGCUGCAGCAGCUAGCAAGAAAGCUUUUGAGGCAAAAUUUGAAAACUGUUCGGAGGAUAUACUAGCGGCAAGAGAGCUUGCUGCAUCUUCUACUGAAGCUGUGGCAAAAUCCAAAAAGGAAAUGAGACAGAAACGAGCUUAUGAGGCAAAAAAUACAAGGCCAGCUCAAUCUGCUGCAGAGGCCUUUGGCCAAAUGUCUAAUAAAAAAAGGAAUUUGCAGGGUCUCAAAUCUAAAGUCAAUUUUGAACUCCUGAAUGAAUUGUUUGAUGAAAUGGAAAAUACCGAUGGUCUCAAGAAACAGAAGAAA
Molecule: long non-coding RNA, 326 nt
Organism: Glycine soja
Lineage: Eukaryota; Viridiplantae; Streptophyta; Magnoliopsida; Fabales; Fabaceae
Exons: 4
Source: RefSeq, a predicted model, not a curated record